RNAcentral lists this unclassified non-coding RNA (241 nucleotides) under fungal sp. RNAcentral describes it as "partial internal transcribed spacer region". The stretch from base 1 to 46 matches the Rfam family "Eukaryotic small subunit ribosomal RNA", at positions 1786 to 1831 of the family's 1831-position model. The record is from RNAcentral. Lineage: Eukaryota; Fungi.
AAGUCGUAACAAGGUAACCGUAGGUGAACCUGCGGUUGGAUCAUUAAUAAAUUUAUAAAGGUAGAGGGUCUUUACGGACCUUUUACUCUUUAACAAAUUUGUGAACUUUAUUAAAGUCUUUUGGGAUGAUAGCAAUGUUAUCCCAAAAACCCCUUUUAAACAAUUUUUUAUAUAACAAGUCUUUAAAAACCUUUAAAUUUAAUUUAAAAAACAACUUUUGACAACGGAUCUCUUGGCUCUC